Molecule: ribosomal RNA, 253 nt
Filed under: uncultured bacterium
Lineage: Bacteria
Description: partial 16S ribosomal RNA
Rfam family: Bacterial small subunit ribosomal RNA
Source: RNAcentral
UACGUAGGGUGCAAGCGUUGUCCGGAAUUAUUGGGCGUAAAGAGCUCGUAGGCGGUCUGUCGCGUCUGCUGUGAAAACUCGGGGCUUAACCCCGGGCCUGCAGUGGGUACGGGCAGACUAGAGUGCGGUAGGGGAGACUGGAAUUCCUGGUGUAGCGGUGAAAUGCGCAGAUAUCAGGAGGAACACCGAUGGCGAAGGCAGGUCUCUGGGCCGAUACUGACGCUGAGGAGCGAAAGCGUGGGGAGCAAACAGG